UACGUAGGGGGCAAGCGUUGUCCGGAAUCAUUGGGCGUAAAGAGCGUGUAGGCGGCCUGGUAAGUCCGCUGUGAAAGUCCAGGGCUCAACCCUGGAAUGCCGCUGGAAACUGUCUGGCUUGAGUCCGGAAGGGGCGAGUGGAAUUCCUGGUGUAGCGGUGAAAUGCGCAGAUAUCAGGAGGAACACCAAUGGCGAAGGCAGCUCGCUGGAACGGUACUGACGCUGAGGCGCGAAAGCGUGGGGAGCGAACAGG
Molecule: ribosomal RNA, 253 nt
Filed under: uncultured bacterium
Lineage: Bacteria
Description: partial 16S ribosomal RNA
Rfam family: Bacterial small subunit ribosomal RNA
Source: RNAcentral